AUAAAAAUAGCCCAUCCAGCAGCACGACCUUCCUGCAAUCCUGCAACGCGCCGCCGCCUCCUGCCCGCCCCGCCUCACGGCGCGCCGCCGGCCACCCCCUCCGCCGAGCGCCGCCACCGCCUACCCGCCUCCCAUCUUGAUCCCCGAGCGCCCGACCCGGCCAUCGUUCGUCGCCAGCACCUACGGAUCUGGCUGACCCUCGCCUUCCCCGUCUACUGCACCUCCCAGCGCCGCCACCCCACCCCUGCCAUGCUCUGCCUCCUGGAUCCACAUCCCCACGACCAGAACGGGUCCUCCUCGAGGAGCCGCGCAUCCUCUGCCUGCUCCAACGCUGCACACAUCCUCUGCUUGGUUGACUCCCACCGCCUAUGAUCGUCCCUGCCGUCUGAUCAGGGAGAGUGUACAGAACAUGCAGGUUUGUAUUGUUUCCAGUGUAUGUUGGUCAUGCAUCGGAUGUCACUCGGUUUCUAGGAAUUUCAAGAUGGCAUCAAAGAAACCAACGAACAAGGAGAGAAAACUUAAACAAGAGAGAUGUAUGAGGAUGUCGGUGUCUCAUCAAACAUGUAUUGUGUGAGGACACCCUUCGUCCGACCUAAUCUUGACGAUCAUCCGCAGGUACACACAUACAUGUUCUUCCCUGCCGCCUCUUGGUUUAGUUCACAUGUCUUGAAUUACUUUGAUCCUUUUGGUAACUUGGUUUGACCUUUGUGAGGAAUCUAGAGCAGCACUUCAAAACUCCCAGGUUGUUUUCAUCAGCAAGCUUAUAGAUGACCACAUGGUGGAACUCAAUAAUACAACGCUGUACGAUGCACCUGAGAUUCCAAUGGAUACCUGUCGAAGCGAUGUGGUCAUCAGCAUGUAUGCUCUCAAGCUCCUGGUAGAGCAUUUUCCCUUAAACGAUGCUAUUGUCACGUCAUGCAUAUCAUGGUUCUGUUGGUUGGUAAUUUGACCUUCACAACACUUGCUGAUAUUAUCCUUUCCAGGAUGCAAAAUGAUUCUUCAAUUUGGGGUGCCAACUAUGCUAGCUUUAUAUUGCUGAAUGUAGGAGCUUAUUAUUUUCUUGUUGUAUUAGUUAUUCAAUGAUAUUGGGCAAGGAAUCUGAAUGAACUAUUCUUUCUGAUUCUUGGAGUUACAUGUGUGAUUGCUUAGACUCUUCUAAUUCUGUCAUAGUCUAGUUGGUUGCUUGGCUGAAAUAGUUUCUUACGGGCCUCCUUCUAGAUCUAUUCCCACUUAUAUAGAAUAUAUUUUCCACUGGUUUCGUCAAACAAAAAAGUCAUAGACAUUAAAUAUUUAAAGUUUUGUCUUGUUCAUACUUUCUAAAGUCUGAAAUUGUACUGAAAUCAGCAUAGAAAUUCCGCAAGUAAGAAUAUUAAAGGUACCCGUGUCAUUCAUCCCUACUAGAUGAUAAAUGCUACUGCUAUUUCUUUUCUCAAAGAUGCCUCAUUUUCAUUAAGAAGAAAGCUCAAUAGACCAAAAUUCCAUAUAAUUUCUUCUUUCUUAAGGAAAACUAACUACAGGUACCAAUCACCUGUUCAUCCUAUUUUUAGUUGACAAUAUACUGAAUAAUUUGACAGUGAACAAGCACAGAAAAUGCUCUUAAGAAGCGAUAGUUUUGAACCUGAAUUUAUAAAAGAAAAUGAAGCAAUUCGUGUUGAAAAUAUCUUAGGCAGCAAAUCCACCAGGUUUGAGAUGUUCACAGAAACAUGUCAGUUUCAGGAAACUAUAAUUGAAAAUUGUCUAUCUGAUCCAUCAGUAAGCAAGCAGAGGCCAUGUUAUCAAGGAACAGAGUUCAAAAACCAUCAAUCUCAGGAACACUCUGACCAUGUAUUUGAUUCUGUUGAAUACCCAAUAUAUGAUAAGAUGCUAUUUUCAUUUGCUAGGCAACCAUGAAAAAGUUUCAGCCCAAUUCAUAAUUUAAAUUAGUCAUGUGUAUUAUUUUAUUCAGUUUCUAAUUUUACUCCUGUGUGUUCUUUUAUUUAGUUCUGUGAGGAAGAAGAAGGGAUUACAUAGAUGUGUAAUAUAUUGUUUGUUCUGCAACCAUACCUACAUGGGAUUAUAGUUUAGUUAGAAAUCUGAGAUUAUUUUCCUUCAGAAAUGAGCAUUAGCCCUCAGAACAAAAAUGAACCACACAACUAUCCUCCUACUUAAUUAUUAGUCUGUAUGUUCAUUAUUACAGUAAGUUCAAAAACUGCAUUUGUGUAUUUGUACCAAGCUUUCUUGCUCAUCUCAUUCUGUAAGUACCAUUUUGUAUGUCGGAAAGCAAUGGUUUCUAUAUAGAGCUAUAGUUCAUCUAUAUGUUUCUCCGAUAUAUUAUUGAUGUGUUUUCCUCACCUGCUAUUUGAAUGACAUAAUCCUUUAGAUCUUCCCCAAGUUUGGUGUUAAAGCUAACAAGACUCCUCCUUCCUAUAAAUACAACUUUGAACGAAGGAAAGCAAGACAGGGCCGCCUUUAUAUCUUGGAUCACUCCAUAGCAGGGACCAAGAGUGGGCACAUCCGAGUUUAGAUAUUCAGUCACUGUUUUGCAAUCCAUCUCAAGCUCCACGGGUCCUCUGUAAACUUUUGCAAGAGCAUGUAGCCGAAACAGGGUUGCCUGGGCCUUCAGCUUCCUCCACACUAUUGGAAACUGGUAACUGAUAGUAUGUCGACAGAUAAACUUAGCCUCUGUAAUCCCUGGCUACAGCCCCCGGCCAUCCCAGCCACUGAUCUGCUAAAAACAUGCGUCGGUGUUCAACUACGCCGAGCCCUGUUCGGGCGGAGUCCACUGUAUGGGUGGCAGUGAAAGAGGUAUUUAUGUGAUAAAGGACGGGGUCAGUUGUUCCUUUCCCUUCUAUGAACUCAUCUUUUGCAUCGCAUCACCCAUCUCUUCCUCGUACUUCUGCCGGAAGCUGACAGAGUGCAGAACAUAUUCUUUUCCUUCACAGACUACUACAACGCACAGGCAUCUUCACAAAGAGAACAUAGGGAUUUUAAGUUUUGUAUAGCCUGCACUGGAGGCUAUAGAGUUAUGUUUUUGUACAUUUUGCGAAUCGUUUUGUUCCAGAUUCUCUUAGUGUAUAUAGUCUAACUAUAGAAGAUUAUUUACUAUCUGCAAAUUUGCUUUUUUUCCAUUGCUGAUCAUGUCCUCUCUGUGCACUUGCAUCCUUCUGUUAACAGUUUAGUGAUCUAAUGAUUAUUCAGAAGGGACGCUAGAUGUUCCUAGAUGCAUAGAUUUUCUUAUAUAGUUUUUCAUUACACUGAGAUUUUUUAGGGAUAACAAUGGUAUUUAAGAUAGUUUUAUUUGUCGAAUUCUCACACUGAAAUCCAAACAAACCAUACCUUCAAAGGCCAGCAUAAUGGCACUUAAAAUAAAUGCUAAUCUGCACUCACGCUGCAAUCUGGUGGCCAUUCUUCUGGUGAUUUGGUCAAAGCUACAACCAAGCAAAGAUAUUUUACAUGUUAUAAGAACUAAGUUAUGGAUUUUGUGUUCCCAGGUCUAUAAUAUGUGUGCUCUGUCGGUUCCCUGCAAGCUCUUUCAGCCAUGACCUCAAGUUCUGCAGCUAGGCUGUGAAUGUGUUGGUCCUUCUCACCGUCCACCGAUGAUGGUGCCCAAGAUAAGUGAUGGAAGGAGAAAAGGAUGUUGCUGUCGCGCGGUCGUCGGAACGACUUGCCGUGGACGUGGCCAUGCACUGGAUGCCAUCGACGACUAGCUUCCGCAAAAUAUGAAUGGAUGGGAUUCUGCUACAAACAUUGGGGAGCAUGUACUGUUGCGGUGCUGUGACAUAUACACUCCAUGGAAGAAACCCCUGUUUGAUUUACAGGUGAUGCUGAUUCAUUUGGAAUCUACUUUUGACAGAUCAAUCUGGUUUGUUGGCUUCUGUGUGGCUUCAUGUGACGCUCCAGUGCACUAGGGAGAGGUACAGGUCCCCAGAACUACAUGUAUGUACCGAAUUGUUUCAUCUGUCGAGUUUGACAUUCAAUAUUGACUCCUUGAUCCUGUUUCUUAGGGUUCAUGAUUGCCAAUUGGUCGUGGGCAAUGAACUAAAAUGUCUAUUAAAUGUUCAUGGAUAUCUUAAAAGGAGAACAGUUCAGACUUUAGAUGUACAUUAUAUUUGAUGCAUUAGUCUAAUCUGUACUUCAAAUUACAGUGUAUGAUUUGUUUGGACACUACAUAUAUAUUUGAUGGAGCCGUCUAAGUUAGACUAUUGGACA
Triticum aestivum (bread wheat) is the source of this 4188-nucleotide long non-coding RNA. RefSeq lists it as uncharacterized. Lineage: Eukaryota; Viridiplantae; Streptophyta; Magnoliopsida; Poales; Poaceae. The transcript has 3 exons. The record is from RefSeq and is a predicted model, not a curated record.